Molecule: ribosomal RNA, 440 nt
Filed under: uncultured bacterium
Lineage: Bacteria
Description: partial 16S ribosomal RNA
Rfam family: Bacterial small subunit ribosomal RNA
Source: RNAcentral
CCUACGGGUGGCUGCAGUGGGGAAUAUUGCACAAUGGGGGAAACCCUGAUGCAGCGACGCCGCGUGAGUGAAGAAGUAAUUCGUUACGUAAAGCUCUAUCAGCAGGGAAGAAAAUGACGGUACCUGAGUAAGAAGCCCCGGCUAACUACGUGUCAGCAGCCGCGGUAAUACGUAGGGGGCAAGCGUUAGCCGGAUUUACUGGGGGUAAAGGGAGCGUAGACGGUGCGGCAAGUCUGGAGUGAAUGGCCGCAGCUUAACUGCGGCACUGCUUUGGAAACUGGCGAACUAGAGUGCGGGAGGGGUAAGCGGAAUUCCUAGUGUAGCAGUGAAAUGCGUAGAUAUUAGGAGGAACACCGGUGGCGAAGGCGGCUUACUGGACCGUAACUGACGUUGAGGCUCGAAAGCGAGGGGAGCAAAAGGGAUUAGAUACCCUGGUAGUC